UAAAAAGAAUGCCUCAUGUUAGGCUGGGUGU
Molecule: non-coding RNA, 31 nt
Filed under: Homo sapiens (human)
Lineage: Eukaryota; Metazoa; Chordata; Mammalia; Primates; Hominidae
Source: RNAcentral